CGCAGGGAUGUGUAGGUGCUUGUUUGCUGGAACAUUAACUAUAAUAACAUAAUAACAUAACAAUAUGUCAGGGCUGUGGGGUUUGCAGCUUGUUGUGGAGCUCCUCACCAUCCCAAAAUAGGCGACUGAAGGUGAAUGAAUGAAUAAAUAAAAUGCUUUAAUGAAACAAUCAUAUCCGCCCGCUCCUCAACACCCUCUUCACUUUUUUCAUGCAGGAUCGUUCACGAUCUGUGGAGCGAGCUCGGAUCACAUUCCUGCCAGUGUCGUCCGAGAGAUGUGCAACGUCUGCAAAACCAGCAAUUGGGCUACGGUUUCAAGAACAAUGGGACAAGAACUGGGCCGACGCGACUGUAUCCUCAUUCAUCCUCAUCCCGUUCAUGGUGAUUUACUGGAGCUGAGUUGAGGUCAUUUAACCACUAGUUCAUCCAAGUGUCUCAUAGGUAAUUUAUGAAUUACAGUUCUGGUGUUCACUUUGUGGUUAUUACUGGUUCAAAUAAAUCGAGAACCAAAGUACAAAUGGCUGUCAACAUCUCCUAAAAAAGGGGAAAGAAAUCUGUCCAAAUGCUAACAAUGAAAGUUGUUUCCCAGUCGGGGCAGCUCAGGGUAAACGGGUCCUCAGCAUGGCGACUGCUGGUCUGCAGUUUGUCCAAUCACCCAGAUAUUGUGCUGAUUGUUUGUCAGCCUCACUGUGCUGUUCCGCUCACCCUAAAACCACAAUCAGUUUAUUUUUUCUUAAAUCUGUAUUUGUCCGUGUACAGGUGAAAUGGAGACAAUGCUGUUGAUUGGUGAGCCUACACUUUGCCCCCAGCUUGUAUGACAUCAAUUUUCCCAUCUACCUCUGGGUAAGUCCAUUCAUCCAUUAUCAACACCUCUUUUUCUUUUGAGGGUGGCACGGGGGCUGGCCAUGGGUGAAAAUGUGAGGUAUAUCGUGAACAGGUCGCCAGUCUAUCUCAACCAAACAGCCGCUCACAUUCACCUGUGGAGGUGAGUUUAAAAUAAGUACUCCAAAAGAAAGCCACCUUUCGCACUGACCAC
This 1035-nucleotide long non-coding RNA is filed under the name Scophthalmus maximus (turbot). RNAcentral's name for it is "lncRNA (ENSSMAG00000037063.1)". The record is from RNAcentral. Lineage: Eukaryota; Metazoa; Chordata; Actinopteri; Pleuronectiformes; Scophthalmidae.